GGGGGCAUAGCUCAGCUGGGAGAGCAACAGACUGAAGUGAGUUUUGUAGCAAUGGUCUUCUGGAGGUCCCCAGUUCAAUCCUGGGUGUCCCCA
RNAcentral lists this transfer RNA (93 nucleotides) under Armillaria borealis. It matches the Rfam family "tRNA". Rfam says of the family: Transfer RNA (tRNA) molecules are approximately 80 nucleotides in length. Their secondary structure includes four short double-helical elements and three loops (D, anti-codon, and T loops). Lineage: Eukaryota; Fungi; Basidiomycota; Agaricomycetes; Agaricales; Physalacriaceae. The record is from Rfam by way of RNAcentral.